GAAAUAAAUAAAAAUGAACUUCUAAUUCAUUAAAAAUAGAUUAAUCUAUUUUAUUUCU
Molecule: transfer RNA, 58 nt
Filed under: Cerceris sp. SJW-2017
Lineage: Eukaryota; Metazoa; Arthropoda; Insecta; Hymenoptera; Crabronidae
Description: tRNA-Ser
Source: RNAcentral